UGUACCUACGGGAGGCAGCAGUGGGGGAUAUUACACAAUGGGGGAAACCCUGAUGCAGCGACGCCGCGUGAGUGAAGAAGUAUUUCGGUAUGUAAAGCUCUAUCAGCAGGGAAGAAAAAAGACGGUACCUGACUAAGAAGCUCCGGCUAACUACGUGCCAGCAGCCGCGGUAAUACGUAGGGGGCAAGCGUUAUCCGGAUUUACUGGGUGUAAGGGGAGCGUAGACGGCAAUACAAGUCGGCAGUGAAAUACCCGGGCUUAACAUGGGAACUGCUUUGGCAACUGUAUGGCUGGAGUGCU
RNAcentral lists this ribosomal RNA (300 nucleotides) under uncultured bacterium. RNAcentral's name for it is "bacterial SSU rRNA". It matches the Rfam family "Bacterial small subunit ribosomal RNA", at positions 334 to 650 of the family's 1533-position model. The record is from RNAcentral.